AUGUGUGUUCCAAAGAAGAAGGGUGGCAUGGGGUUUAGGGACCUUCAUUUUAAUCUUGCUAUGUUAGCAAAGCAGUGUUGGCAACUACUCCAAAAUCCCAAUUCUCUGUGUGCACGUGUUUUGAGUGCUAAGUAUUAGCCAAACGGAGACAUGCUGAAUGCAUGGCCUAAAAAGGGAUCAUCGUUCACAUGACAAAGCAUUAUUGCAAGUAUACAAACCUUCAAGAGAGGGUGUAUUUGGCGGGUUGGAUAUGGUUCGGACAUUAAUAUCUGGGAUGAUCCUUGGAUUCCCUCUAGUGAGUCAGGAAGAAUCAUCACACCCAAGGGAGGAACUAUGCCAACAAAGGUUGAAUAAUUAAUUAACCGACACAUGGGCUAGUGGGAUGUUGAGCUCCUCUAGGACAUUUUAUUACUCAUGGAUGUUACUAGAAUUGUACAAAUUCCUUUGCAUGUUGAAGUUGUAGAUGAUUUUGUUGCUUGGCAGUUUACCAGGUCUGGUACCUUUUCGGUGCGCUCAGCUUAUCGCAUUGAGUUUGACCACCAGUUCGGUCGUCACUAUGGCCGAAUGGAUGCCCCAGGUGGUUCUCAGAUUAACCUAGUGUGGAAAGAACUGUGGCGUCUUCACGUCCCUGGGAAAAUCAAGCACUUUGGAUGGAAGGUUCUGAAGGGGGUCUUGCCAUGCUUCGGUGUUCUACCAGGAAGACAUAUUCCUGUAACCCCACAAUGCCUGUUUUUUAAAGUUGGUUUGGAGGAUAUACAACACUGCAUUUUCACAUGUUCUAGGGCUACGGAAGUUUGGGAUGAACUUUAGCUAGCAGAUACUGUACGGAAGGCAGUACUACAAGCCCGCUCGGGGUCCAUCACUCUGGAGAUCCUCCUACUAUCCGAUUUUAUGAUACAAGAAAUCCUGGCAGCGGAACUUAUACUAGUGACAAUGUGGUACAUCUGGUGGUAG
RNAcentral lists this ribosomal RNA (954 nucleotides) under Triticum aestivum (bread wheat). Its description in RNAcentral is "partial small subunit ribosomal RNA". The record is from RNAcentral. Lineage: Eukaryota; Viridiplantae; Streptophyta; Magnoliopsida; Poales; Poaceae.